This 403-nucleotide ribosomal RNA is filed under the name uncultured cyanobacterium. Its description in RNAcentral is "bacterial SSU rRNA". It matches the Rfam family "Bacterial small subunit ribosomal RNA", at positions 364 to 781 of the family's 1533-position model. The record is from RNAcentral. Lineage: Bacteria; Bacillati; Cyanobacteriota.
UUCCGCAAUGGGCGAAAGCCUGACGGAGCAAGACCGCGUGGGGGAAGAAGGCUCUUGGGUUGUAAACCCCUUUUCUCUGGGAAGAACACAAUGACGGUACCAGAGGAAUCAGCAUCGGCUAACUCCGUGCCAGCAGCCGCGGUAAGACGGAGGAUGCAAGCGUUAUCCGGAAUGAUUGGGCGUAAAGCGUCCGCAGGUGGCAGUUCAAGUCUGCUGUCAAAGACCGGGGCUUAACCUCGGAAAGGCAGUGGAAACUGAACAGCUAGAGUAUGGUAGGGGCAAAGGGAAUUCCUGGUGUAGCGGUGAAAUGCGUAGAGAUCAGGAAGAACAUCGGUGGCGAAGGCGCUUUGCUGGACCAUAACUGACACUCAGGGACGAAAGCUAGGGGAGCGAAAGGGAUUAG